This 5900-nucleotide long non-coding RNA is filed under the name Olea europaea (common olive). RNAcentral's name for it is "long non-coding RNA (OEUR_LNC001895)". The record is from RNAcentral. Lineage: Eukaryota; Viridiplantae; Streptophyta; Magnoliopsida; Lamiales; Oleaceae.
AGAGUUUUAGGCCUUGAUUGUGGCUGGUAAAUCUGUAGUGUGUUCUUGGGAAGGUUUUGUCAAGUCUUGUGGUUAGGUUUUCGAGUUAUUGAGAGAUCCUUGUGGAUCGAUGAUCAUAUAGUGGGUAUGAUGUGGUUUCUUCAACUGGUUGUACACUCUCUUGAAGGUUUCUUGCUAGUGAUGGGCUUACCUCUGAGCCCCCCAGAUUAGGCCAUUUCAGGUUGAACUGGGUGAAAAUUUCUGUGUUCGAUUUUUGUUCUUGCUUUAUUUUUACUGUUUUACGAUUGUUUGUUGGUGUUGGGUCGAUAAUCCUAACAAAUCUGGUAUCAGAGCUCGGUUUUCGAGGCAUCUGCGUGACAUACCUUGCCCUGAGGAUAUUUCAGUGGGUUGAGAAAAAGGUUAAGCGAUCGAACAUAUUUUUUUCGAAUCAGCAUAUUUUUUUUGGAUAUUUCUUGAGAUUUUAAUUUCUGUCCAGAUCUUAAAGAUCUGCACAGAUGUUUAGGAGACUAAUUUUUCUAUUUAAGUGCGAAGGUUAAGAACGAAAAUUGGUCAACCCCUGACCGGCUCCAGUUUUGGCAGGUGAUAGGGUGAUCUCUGAAACACUUGUGAUUGCACUGUUGUUCAACGGUGCUGUGGGUGAGAUCUAAAUAAUAAAAGAGCUCGUAUAAUUUUGGUGCACAAAAUUGCAUGUUUAUUGUUCUGUGGAUUAAGUACUGAAAUUGUACAUUGUGCAUUGAUAAUUGAUCUAACAAUAGGAGCAUGUUUUAGGAAUUAUUCAAAGUUCUUUAUAUUUGUUGAGUAAUUCCUUGAAUUCCAACACAUUGAUUGCUUGUGUACAUUGUUUUUCAGUUGUGCAAGUUAGGAUAAUUGUUUUUCAUUCUGUAAUCUGCAUUCCUUAAAUCAGUUAGGAAGUUUCUUGGUUUUGUUUUUGUAAUCAUAUAUUGAGGUGUCUGUCAUGGCUUCCAGUAGUAGCCACCUCUUUUCAGAACUUAUGAUGGGUUCGAAAGUCGAACUAUCACAAUUCGAUGGAAAGGGGGAUUACUCGAUUUGGAAGCAAAAAAUGAGGGCCAUAUUGGUCCAACGAGGGUUGCUAAAGCCCUGGACGACCCUGACAAAUAUUCUGAUGAACUUAAAGCCAAACCAGAUGAGAUUCUUGAAAUGAAUGAAAUAGCUUAUAGUUCGAUUAUCCUGCACUUAUUUGAUAAUAUUGUAAGACAAGUAGAAGAAUCCAAAACUGCUAGAGAUCUUUGGACAGCCUUAGAUAACUUGUUCUUAACCUAGACUUUACCAAAUAAAAUUUAUCUCCUGGAAAAACUGUUUAGUUUUAAAAUGGAUGAUCGGAAAGACCUGGAAACCAAUUUGAGUGAUUUUAGCAUACUGGUGAAGAGUCUUGCUCAUAAUGAUAAAAAAUUUGAAGAUGAGGAUCUUGCAGUAAUCCUUCUAAACUCUUUACCUGAUUCUUAUAAGGAUAUCAAAAAUGCUAUAAAAUACUCAAGAGAUGCAUUAACACAAUCAAUCGUGACAAAUGCCCUAAGAUCUAGGGAACUGGAAGUCAAGAAAGAAUCUAAACUAAACUCAAGAGAAGAGAGUUUAUUUGUGAGAGGAAGACCAGAAAAGAGGGAAAGUAAUUCCCAGAACAAAAGAUUCAAGUCCAAAUCCAAAAUCAAAUCUAAAUCAAGAGACAAAAGCAAUAAAAAAUGCUAUCACUGUGGGAAACUUGGACAUUUUAAAAGAGACUGUUAUGAGCUAAAGAAGAAGCUAAAAGAAUCCAGCAACAUUGAGUUAAAUAAUGCUGCUGUGAGUUCUGAACUUGACAGUCUUCUUGUAAUGACUGUGACAAAUGAAGAAACAAAUACUAAUUGGAUUCUGAAUUCUGGAUGUACAUUUCAUAUGUGCCCAAACAAAUCUUGGUUUCAUAACUACAAGAAGAUAGAACCCAGAAAAGUAUAUAUGGGUGAUAACAAUUCACAAAAUGUAUUGGGAAUUGGGGACAUUUCAAUCAAAAUGUAUGAUGGAAGUGUUAGACUGAUUAAAAAUGUGAGACAUGUCCCAAAUCUAAAAAGAAACCUCAUUUCAUUGGGGAUUCUUGAAGAUGAGGGACAUACAUUUAAAUCUGAUAAUAACACUUUGAAAAUCUUGAAAGGAUCUCAUGUAGUCAUGAAGGGGCCUAAAAGGAAUGGGCUAUAUUACUUAAUGGGAAAAGCUGUUAAUUCCCAGGACUCAAAUUCUUUAACUAUAACUGAGUGCAAAUCUGAAUUGUGGCAUUGUAGAAUGGGUCAUAUUGGAAAUAAGGGCUUAAAGUAUCUUAAUGACCAAAAAUUGUUUGGGAAAGAUAAAGUCGAACCCCUUAACUUUUGUGAAACAUGUGUGUUAGGGAAGUCUCAUAGAGUGAGUUUUGAGACCGGGUCACACACAACAAAUAGACCUUUGGACUAUGUCCAUGCGGAUUUAUGGGGGCCAGAAAAUCACCCAACCUUUGGCGGAGAUAAAUAUUUUCUUUCUAAAAUUGAUGAUUAUUCUAGAAAGGUCUGGACCUACCCUUUGAAAUCCAAAAAUGAAACUUUUCAAAAAUUCAGAUUGUGGUUAAAGAUGGUUGAGAACCAAUUGGACAAGAAAUUAAAAACCUUAAGGACAGAUAAUGGGUUGGAAUUUUGCAAUGCUGAAUUUGAUAAUUUUUGCAAGCAAAAAGGAAUUAUUAGACAUAGAACUGUUAAGCAUACUCCCCAACAAAAUGGGGUUGUUGAGAGAAUGAAUAGAACCCUUAUGAAUAAGUUAAGAUGUAUGCUGAUCAGUUCUGGGCUUGCAAAAGGAUUUUGGGCAGAGGCUUUAUGCACUGCUGCCUACCUCAUAAAUAGGUCCCCUUAUAGUUCUGUAGAGUUUAAAACUCCACGGGAACUAUGGACUGAAAAACUACCAAAUCUGUCACACUUAAGAGUUUUUGGUUGUGCUGCAUAUGCACAUCAAGUUGAGGGAAAAUUAGAUCCGAGGGCUACCAAGUGUGUUAUGCUUGGAUACCCUGAAGGAGUUAAAGGGUACAGGUUAUGGGUACUUGGUAUUAAAGGAAUAAAAAUCAUUAACAGUAGAAAUGUGGUGUUUAAUGAAACUGAGAUGCCUUGUUUGAAGAAUAAUAUGGAUAAAUCAGAUCUGGCUGAAAAGGGUACUUCCCAAAGUGAGGUGAAGUUGGCAAAAUUAAAUAACAGCAGAUCUGAUGUAACUGAAUCAAAACCUGUACAGGUCAUUGAAAGUAUAGAAAAUACUGAUGAAGGUGAAGUUGAUCCACCCCAAACUGGAACUGAAACAGAAUCUGAAACAAUGGCAUCUAACUACCCAGAAAAUGAACCUAGUACCAGAGAUUAUCAAUUGGUGAGAGAUAGGGACAGGAGACAGAUUAAACCUAACCCUAGGUAUGAAAUGAAUAAUCUGACCAAAUUUGCCCUCAUCUCUGGUGAAAACGUAGAACAUUCUGAACCCUCUUCUUAUGAAGAAGCAAUGAAUAGUUCUAAGUCAAAAGAAUGGAAAGAAGCAAUGAAAGAAGAAAUGAAAUCCCUUCUUGAAAAUAAAACCUGGAAACUUGUAAAGAAGCCAAAGACCAAAGAGUGGUUCAGUGUAAGUGGAUCUUUAAGUUUAAGGAAGGUAUUUCUAAAUCUGAUCCUUUGAGGUAUAAGGCAAGGCUUGUAGCCAAAAGGUUCACUUAAAGGGAGGGAGUUGAUUACAAUAAAAUUUUUUCACCUGUAAUCAAAUAUAAAACCAUAAGACUCAUUUUGGCUCUAGUUGUUCAAUUUGAUUGGGAAUUAGAACAAUUAGAUGUGAAAACUACCUUUUUACAUGGGGAAUUGGAAGAGGACAUUUAUAUGUGUCAACCUCAAGGUUUUGAAGAAAGGGGGGAAUCUGAUUUUGUUUGUAAAUUGCAAAAAUCACUGUAUGGACUGAAACAAAGUCCAAGACAGUGGUAUAUAAGGUUUGACACAUAUGUUUUGAAAAUUGGUUUUAGAAGGAGUGAAUAUGAUCACUGUUUAUACUAUAAUAAUUCUAAUUAUACUAUAAUAAUUCUAAAACCGGGUCUAAAACGUAUCUACUACUCUACGUAGAUGAUAUGCUUCUUGCCAGCCCCAGUAAAGCUGAAAUAAUGAGGCUGAAAAACCUAUUAAAGUCUGAAUUUGAUAUGAAGGACUUAGGAAAUGCCAAGAAAAUUUUAGGGAUGGUGAUAAAUCGAAAUAGGCAAGAAAACAUGCUAACCAUAUCACAAGAACCCUACCUACACAAAGUUAUAAUGAAGUUUGGCAUGAAAGAAGCUAAGUCCGUCAAUGUUCCCCUUGCUGCCCAUAUGAAUCUCUCAUCAGCCCAGUGUCCAAAAACUGAAUCUGAAAUUAAAGAUAUGACAAAUAUCCCAUAUGCCAAUGCAAUUGGAUCUGUUAUGUUUUCCAUGAUUACAACACGACCAGAUCUUGCAUAUUCAAUCAGUUUUUUAAGUAGGUUUAUGGCAAACCCUGGAAAACCACAUUGGGCUGGGUUAAAGUGGCUACUUAGAUACAUAGUUGGGACACUAAAUGUAGGAUUGGUGUUCAAAAAGGGAUCGAAACUAUUAACUCUUAAAGGAUAUGUGGAUUCCGAUUUCGCUGGAGAUAAAGAUCAAAGAAAGUCUACAAUUGCCUUCUUUUUUACACUUGGUGAUAAUUGUAUUACGUGGAAGUCUCAACUUCAAUCAAUUGUAACUUUGUCUAGCACUGAAGCUAAAUAUGUGGCAAUUACUGAAUGUGUAAAAGAAUGCAUGUGGCUUAAAGGGAUCUUAACUGAACUGAAUUUUCUAAAUACUCCACCUGUGAUAUUAACUGAUAGUCAAAGUGCUUUACUUUUAAGCAAAAAUCUUGUCUAUCAUGAAAGGUCAAAACACAUUGAGGUGAAGUAUCAUUUCAUAAGAGAAAAACUCUCAUCUGGUGAAAUGGCUCUUGAGAAAAUUCAUACUGAUUUUAAUCCUGCUGAUAUGGGGACUAAAAUACUGACUGUUAAUAAAUUCAAAUCUUGUUUAUCAUUGCUUAAUAUUGAUACAGGUUGAUUUUUGUGCAGGUACUUGGGCAAUGAUGUAGGGUAAGGUUCUGUCACUAGCAUUAUAGCAACAAGAGAGGAAGUGCGCGGUUUGAGAACCAAGGUGAAGAUUUGUGAAGUCGUGAUUCUCAAACAACACAUCCAUAAGUGAAAAAACGUUUUCUACUCUUUAUACGCCAUGGACAGAUGGCAUUCGGUUAUUGGAUAAAAUAAUGUCACUAGAGUUGUGGUUUUUCUCUUAUCAUUUAUGGACCAUUGAUCCACAUCUAUGGUUGAGAUUUAGUCUCAUAUAAUUAAUGCAAAAGGAGACUUUAAGGGUUGAUGAGAAGAAGUCAGCCGGCACUUUUCUUUUCAUUUGGCAGAAAUUGUCCCUUCAAGUUUCUCUCUCUCUCUCUCUCUCUCUCUCUCGUUCCUUCAUGUUUCUGCUUCUUCCUUUCUCUUUUGAAUUGAAGAACCAGUGAAGGUUAUUGUAAUAAUCUUGUUGUUAUUUGAUGAUGAUAGAACUAUGGUACAGAGUUUUAGGCCUUGAUUGUGGCUGGUAAAUCUGUAGUGUGUUCUUGGGAAGGUUUUAUCUAGUCUUGUGGCUAGGUUUUCGAGUUAUUGAGAGAUCCUUGUGGAUCGAUGAUCAUAUAGUGGGUAUGAUGUGGUUUCUUCAACUGGUUGUACACUCUCUUGAAGGUUUCUUGCUAGUGAUGGGCUUACCUCUGAGGCCCCCAGAUUAGGCCAUUUCAGGCUAAACUGGGUGAAAAUUUCUGUGUUCGAUUUUUGUUCUUGCUUUAUUUUUACUGUUUUACGAUUGUUUGUUGGUGUUGGGUCGAUAAUCCUAACACAAGAUUUUUCAGAUAAUGAUCUUUAUG